This is a non-coding RNA of Triticum aestivum (bread wheat), 133 nucleotides long. Lineage: Eukaryota; Viridiplantae; Streptophyta; Magnoliopsida; Poales; Poaceae. The record is from Rfam.
GUACUACUCCCUUCGAUCGGAAAUACUUGUCAUCAAAAUAAAUAAAAGGGGAUGUAUCUAGAUGUAUUUUAGUUCUAAAUACAUUUUUUUUAUCCAUUUUGAUAACAAUAUUUUCGGACGGAGGGAGUACUAG